Molecule: ribosomal RNA, 448 nt
Filed under: uncultured bacterium
Lineage: Bacteria
Description: bacterial SSU rRNA
Rfam family: Bacterial small subunit ribosomal RNA
Source: RNAcentral
CAGGGAAUCUUGCACAAUGGGCGAAAGCCUGAUGCAGCGACGCCGCGUGGGGGAUGAAGGCCUUAGGGUCGUAAACCCCUUUCAGCAGGGACGAAAAUGACGGUACCUGCAGAAGAAGCCCCGGCCAACUACGUGCCAGCAGCCGCGGUAAGACGUAGGGGGCGAGCGUUGUCCGGAUUUAUUGGGCGUAAAGAGCUCGUAGGCGGUUGCGUAAGUCGGAUGUGAAAACUCAGGGCUCAACCCUGAGACGCCAUCCGAUACUGCGCUGACUUGAAUCCAGUAGGGGAGUGUGGAAUUCCUGGUGUAGCGGUGAAAUGCGCAGAUAUCAGGAGGAACACUCAUGGCGAAGGCAGCACUCUGGGCUGGUAUUGACGCUGAGGAGCGAAAGCAUGGGUAGCGAACAGGAUUAGAUACCCCCGUAGUCCCUGAGCGGGCUGGCAAGGCGCAU